Molecule: ribosomal RNA, 468 nt
Filed under: uncultured bacterium
Lineage: Bacteria
Description: partial 16S ribosomal RNA
Rfam family: Bacterial small subunit ribosomal RNA
Source: RNAcentral
GACGAACGCUGGCGGCGUGCUUAACACAUGCAAGUCGAACGGAAAGGCCCUGCUUUUGUGGGGUGCUCGAGUGGCGAACGGGUGAGUAACACGUGAGUAACCUGCCCUUGACUUUGGGAUAACUUCAGGAAACUGGGGCUAAUACCGGAUAGGAGCUCCUGCUGCAUGGUGGGGGAUGGAAAGAUUCGGCGGUUGGGGAUGGACUCGCGGCUUAUCAGCUUGUUGGUGGGGUAGUGGCUUACCAAGGCUUUGACGGGUAGCCGGCCUGAGAGGGUGACCGGCCACAUUGGGACUGAGAUACGGCCCAGACUCCUACGGGAGGCAGCAGUGGGGAAUAUUGCAGAAUGGGCGGAAGCCUGAUGCAGCAACGCCGCGUGCGGGAUGACGGCCUUCGGGUUGUAAACCGCUUUCGCCUGUGACGAAGCGUGAGUGACGGUAAUGGGUAAAGAAGCACCGGCUAACUACGUG